GGAGGAUCACUUGAGGUCAGGAGUUCGAGGCUGCAGUGAGCUAUGAUCACACCACUGCACUCCAGCCUGAGUGACAGAGUGAAACCCUGUCUCA
This 94-nucleotide microRNA precursor is filed under the name Propithecus coquereli (Coquerel's sifaka). RNAcentral describes it as "miRNA (ENSPCOG00000000265.1)". The record is from RNAcentral. Lineage: Eukaryota; Metazoa; Chordata; Mammalia; Primates; Indriidae.